RNAcentral lists this ribosomal RNA (383 nucleotides) under uncultured soil bacterium. RNAcentral describes it as "bacterial SSU rRNA". It matches the Rfam family "Bacterial small subunit ribosomal RNA", at positions 26 to 404 of the family's 1533-position model. The record is from RNAcentral.
AGAUUGAACGCUGGCGGCAGGCCUAACACAUGCAAGUCGAGCGGUAGAGAGGUGCUUGCACCUCUUGAGAGCGGCGGACGGGUGAGUAAUGCCUAGGAAUCUGCCUAGUGGUGGGGGAUAACGUUCGGAAACGGGCGCUAAUACCGCAUACGUCCUACGGGAGAAGCGGGGACCUUCGGGCCUCGCGCCAUUAGAUGAGCCUAGGUCGAUUAGCUAGUUGGUGAGGUAAUGGCUCGACCAAGGCGACGAUCCGUAACUGGUCUGAGAGGAUGAUCAGUCACACUGGAACUGAGACACGGUCCAAGACUCCUACGGGAGGCAGCAAGGUGGGGAAUAUUCGGACAAGUGGGACGAAAGCCUGAUCCGAGCCAGUCGCCGCGUGU